Non-coding RNA from Picea glauca (white spruce), 119 nucleotides. The record is from Rfam. Lineage: Eukaryota; Viridiplantae; Streptophyta; Pinopsida; Pinales; Pinaceae.
GGGAGAGAUCAUACCAGCGUUAACGCACCGGAUCCCAUCAGAACUCCGCAGUUAAGCACGCUUGGGCUAGAGUAGUACUGUGAUGGGUGACCUCUCGGGAAGUCCUAGUGUUGCACCCU